RNAcentral lists this ribosomal RNA (465 nucleotides) under Vreelandella stevensii. Its description in RNAcentral is "partial 16S ribosomal RNA". It matches the Rfam family "Bacterial small subunit ribosomal RNA", at positions 338 to 795 of the family's 1533-position model. The record is from RNAcentral. Lineage: Bacteria; Pseudomonadati; Pseudomonadota; Gammaproteobacteria; Oceanospirillales; Halomonadaceae.
CCUACGGGAGGCUGCAGUGGGGAAUAUUGGACAAUGGGCGAAAGCCUGAUCCAGCCAUGCCGCGUGUGUGAAGAAGGCCUUCGGGUUGUAAAGCACUUUCAGUGGGGAAGAAAGCCUUGGGGCUAAUACCCUCGAGGAAGGACAUCACCCACAGAAGAAGCACCGGCUAACUCCGUGCCAGCAGCCGCGGUAAUACGGAGGGUGCGAGCGUUAAUCGGAAUUACUGGGCGUAAAGCGCGCGUAGGCGGUCUGAUAAGCCGGUUGUGAAAGCCCCGGGCUCAACCUGGGAACGGCAUCCGGAACUGUCAGGCUAGAGUGCAGGAGAGGAAGGUAGAAUUCCCGGUGUAGCGGUGAAAUGCGUAGAGAUCGGGAGGAAUACCAGGGGCGAAGGCGGCCUUCUGGACUGACACUGACGCUGAGGUGCGAAAGCGUGGGUAGCAAACAGGAUUAGAUACCCGAGUAGUC